This is a non-coding RNA of Pelobates cultripes (western spadefoot toad), 282 nucleotides long. The record is from the annotation of a GenBank genome assembly. Lineage: Eukaryota; Metazoa; Chordata; Amphibia; Anura; Pelobatidae.
CUUGAUAACAGUGUGAUAAGGAUCAAAGCUUUCAGUUGCAUUUUACAACACCCAGCUAAAACAAAAGCUUACAUCCCUCCAGUAUUCCUUGCAUGUUAUCAGAUCAGAGUAAUAGACAUCUAGGUGAAACCAUGGAAGUGUGUGUUUUCCCAAGCAGUCUAACCCACCCAGAAACCAACCCUAACUGGUCACUUCUUUCAGAACGUUACAGUAUAGCUGGAGGGAAGAGAUCAAAGGGAAAGACUUGUGUAAAGACAGAACUCUCUGGAGAAAGAGGGCGGG